Molecule: ribosomal RNA, 253 nt
Filed under: uncultured bacterium
Lineage: Bacteria
Description: partial 16S ribosomal RNA
Rfam family: Bacterial small subunit ribosomal RNA
Source: RNAcentral
UACGUAGGGUGCGAGCGUUAAUCGGAAUUACUGGGCGUAAAGCGUGCGCAGGUGGUUCGCUAAGACAGAUGUGAAAUCCCCGGGCUCAACCUGGGAACUGCGUUUGUGACUGGCGGGCUAGAGCGCGGAAGAGGGAGGUGGAAUUCCACGUGUAGCAGUGAAAUGCGUAGAGAUGUGGAGGAACACCGAUGGCGAAGGCAGGCUCCUGGUCUAGCACUGACGCUCAUGCACGAAAGCGUGGGGAGCAAACAGG